UACAGAGGUCUCAAGCGUUGUUCGGAUUCAUUGGGCGUAAAGGGUGCGUAGGCGGCGCGGUAAGUCGGGUGUGAAAUCUCGGAGCUUAACUCCGAAACUGCAUUCGAUACUGCCGUGCUUGAGGACUGGAGAGGAGACUGGAAUUUACGGUGUAGCAGUGAAAUGCGUAGAGAUCGUAAGGGAAGACCAGUGGCGAAGCGAGUUUCUGGACGGUAACUGACGCUGAGGCACGAAGGCCAGGGGAGCAAACGGG
Molecule: ribosomal RNA, 253 nt
Filed under: uncultured bacterium
Lineage: Bacteria
Description: partial 16S ribosomal RNA
Rfam family: Bacterial small subunit ribosomal RNA
Source: RNAcentral